Molecule: non-coding RNA, 745 nt
Organism: Pelobates cultripes (western spadefoot toad)
Lineage: Eukaryota; Metazoa; Chordata; Amphibia; Anura; Pelobatidae
Source: the annotation of a GenBank genome assembly
UGAUAAGGCAACAUCUUCUAAAAUAAUAGAAAUUCCUCCUCAGCCUUUGAAUGUAAAUUUAAAAGUGAUUGCUAAUUCUGUCUUUUUUUUUUUUUUUUUUGUGUGGCCUAAAGUAAUUUGCCCUGAUCUUCAACCAUAUUUUACAAGGAGUGAAAUUGUUCAUGACUCAGGCUGACUUGACUGGGGUUCACCAGUAAUCGUGACAACUUUGCUGUAAAAUGAGCACUGAAGUUACCACACUGCUUACAUAAGGGUAAAGUAAAAAUGAAGCAAAGAGCAUGGAAAUAUGUUUGGAUACAGAUUGCUGCUUGCAAUGCAUGUGCACAGACCUGACCAUGCCAACUGAAUCUUGGACAAGAAUACAUAUUCAUUUUGCAUUACCAGUGGAUGGCUUAAUGUAUUUAGUAACUGUGGAUACUCAUUCUAAUAGACCAGAAGUUGUUGUCAAGUACUACAGCAGAACAAAUGUUUUCUAGAAUUUCCAGUAUGGUUGCACGAUUUGGAUUUCUUAAAAUAGAUUUCAGGCUAUGGUCCACGGUUUGUAUCACAGGAAUUAGAGACUUUUUGGACUACAAAUAAUACCCAGCCCUGUAAGACAGCUCCAUAUUUUGAAGGCUUCUAAGGGGCAGGUUGAAUGAUAUGUACUAACUUUGAAAUAACUAUUGGAACACCUCACAUGCUGCCACAUGGUUUAUCACCUGCACUGUUAAUGUGUGGAAGAUGCCUAAGAACUCCUCAAGUUGGG